Molecule: long non-coding RNA, 888 nt
Filed under: Lonchura striata (white-rumped munia)
Lineage: Eukaryota; Metazoa; Chordata; Aves; Passeriformes; Estrildidae
Description: domestica (Bengalese finch) lncRNA (ENSLSDG00000001813.1)
Source: RNAcentral
GAUUAAGUAGCCCUGUUAAGUUUUUACCUCUCUGAUUGGAGCUUAUUUUAACCUCAAUUAAGCCAUCAGCCUGGGUUUCUGAAGGCAGAGCAAUAGCAGAGCCAUUAUCAUUCUCCCCACCUUUUGUAUGAAAAUGAUGUUGAGGAUAGGUUGCUUUGGGGAUUGCUCUGUGGCAGGUAACCAACGCCGAGAAUCGGGAGGAUAAAUGGUGCCAGACUCCCAGAGGUGCCGUGGCACUGUGUAAUUAUUGUUCCAGACAGCUGAAAGCAGCAGGGUUUCUGGUUCCCCUGCUUAGUUUCAGUCUGCCAUGAUUGCUGGCACAGAAAGAUGCUGAUUGUAAGUAAACAUCAAUUAUGCCCUGCUACCCCACUGCUAACAUCUCUGGGCUUGCAAGAAACAGAAGCACAGUGCUGUGCUUGGCUCCUGCUACCAAAACCCACACCUAUAUGGAUUUCAGCUUCCAGGUUUUUGUCUUGCUUGGUCAAGGGACAUUGCUCCUAAAUUCCAUCCUCAUGAAUAACGGCUUCACGCAUGGCUUGUUUGCUGCUCAGUUCCUUCCCGUGUCCAGCUUCCCUCCUUGCCAGCAUUUCCAGCCAUGGAGAUGACACCUGAUGGUGAGCUGAUCAAUGGCUGGUUUCCUUCCUCUGAACUCACCCAGUCCCACACACACCACAGUCUGUCGGCCUUGCAGAUGUUCCCAUUUGUUUUCAUGGGAUAUUUGAAAUAAUUUCAAAUCCACCAGUGACUGAAUGAAAAUAAUUCAUGCCUGAAGUAAAUGUGCUGAUUUUAAUCAUAUGAAUCCUGUUGUAGAGAGGGACACACAUGCAUAUGUAUAUACUUUCCACACUCUUUUCAGACAUGUGCAUGUUUUCUCAUGCCGAUAAUAUA